RNAcentral lists this small RNA (21 nucleotides) under Arabidopsis thaliana (thale cress). RNAcentral's name for it is "Ath_wt_04284". Lineage: Eukaryota; Viridiplantae; Streptophyta; Magnoliopsida; Brassicales; Brassicaceae. The record is from RNAcentral.
UGCUUGAAAUUGUCGGGAGGG